This 331-nucleotide unclassified non-coding RNA is filed under the name soil metagenome. RNAcentral's name for it is "partial contains 5.8S ribosomal RNA, internal transcribed spacer 2, and large subunit ribosomal RNA". The stretch from base 5 to 119 matches the Rfam family "5.8S ribosomal RNA", at positions 40 to 154 of the family's 154-position model. The record is from RNAcentral.
GAUGAGAACGCAGCGAAAUGCGAUAAGUAGUGUGAAUUGCAGAAUUCAGUGAAUCAUCGAAUCUUUGAACGCACAUUGCGCCCUUUGGUAUUCCUUAGGGCAUGCCUGUUCGAGCGUCAUUUAAACCUUCAAGCUAAGCUUGGUGUUGGGUGACUGUCCGCUUCACUGCGGACUCGCCUCAAAAUUAUUGGCGGCCGGUACAUUGGCUUCGAGCGCAGCAGAAACGCGAACUCGGGCCCGUCGUAUUGGCUCCCAGAAGCUAUCUUCACAAUUUUGACCUCGGAUCAGGUAGGGAUACCCGCUGAACUUAAGCAUAUCAAUAAGCGGAGGA